RNAcentral lists this ribosomal RNA (497 nucleotides) under uncultured bacterium. RNAcentral describes it as "partial 16S ribosomal RNA". It matches the Rfam family "Bacterial small subunit ribosomal RNA", at positions 28 to 507 of the family's 1533-position model. The record is from RNAcentral.
GAUGAACGCUGGCGGCGUGCCUAAUACAUGCAGGUCGAGCGAACAGACGAGGAGCUUGCUCCUCUGACGUUAGCGGCGGACGGGUGAGUAACACGUGGAUAACCUACCUAUAAGACUGGGAUAACUUCGGGAAACCGGAGUUAAUACCGGAUAAUAUAUUGAACCGCAUGGUUCAAUAGUGAAAGACGGUUUUGCUGUCACUUAUAGAUGGAUCCGCGCCGCAUUAGCUAGUUGGUAAGGUAACGGCUUACCAAGGCAACGAUGCGUAGCCGACCUGAGAGGGUGAUCGGCCACACUGGAACUGAGACACGGUCCAGACUCCUACGGGAGGCAGCAGUAGGGAAUCUUCCGCAAUGGGCGAAAGCCUGACGGAGCAACGCCGCGUGAGUGAUGAAGGUCUUCGGAUCGUAAAACUCUGUUAUUAGGGAAGAACAAAUGUGUAAGUAACUAUGCACGUCUUGACGGUACCUAAUCAGAAAGCCACGGCUAACUACGUG